Molecule: long non-coding RNA, 1368 nt
Organism: Trichosurus vulpecula (common brushtail)
Lineage: Eukaryota; Metazoa; Chordata; Mammalia; Diprotodontia; Phalangeridae
Exons: 3
Source: RefSeq, a predicted model, not a curated record
AGGAGCCCACGGCUUCUGAGGAAAGGAUUUGGAAGCUGGCUGGUCACGCCCCUUUCUCGGGGUCUCUCUCGGCCCCUCCUCCUGUCCGAGGUGGAGAAAGCUAGGGGAGGAAGGGGGGAAAUGGGGUGGGGCUCUCUAAUUUAUGCGCCUGCGUGGGAUGAGGUGUGUGGAGUCUUUCUCUCCGCUAAGACUGAGAACCAUUGUGGCUUACCACAGAGUUGGCCUUAGAUCCAGGAAGACCUGAGUUCAACUCCCAGCUUUGACAAUUUGACCAUGGGCAAAUCACUCUACACCUGAAAGCUCCUGGCAACUCUUAAGACUAUUAAUUGCUCAGAAAGUAACAACUUGCACUGAUUGGAAGCUCCUGGAAGACAGUGACCAACUCUUAAUAUUUUGAUUGACUGAUAGUAUGGAAUGUUACUUAUAAAGGAAUGUGACAAAGUAGUAGAAUAUUGCAGCGUUUUAUGAUAUGACAUACAGAAAAGCAUAAAAAGAUCUAUAAGAACUGAUGUGAAGAACACAAUACACAUGAAAACUACAACAAUGUAAAUGGAAAAAACAAGGAAGAUGGGAACAGUGCUUCAAAAUUAUAAUAAACAAGCUUAGCCCCAAAGAAAAAGUAGAAGACACCUCUCCUGUGUCUGCAGAACUAGGGGACCGUAGGUAUGCAAUACUAAUGUCAGGCAUUUCCUAUGUGGUGGUUAGUUUUGCUGAACUUAUUUUUGUUUCUUCUUAUUUUAAGGGAGAGUUCUUCUAGAAGGGGUUAUAGGAAGAGAUACAGUGGGAAAUAUAGUUGAUAUAAAAAAAAGAUUUCAAUAAAAUCUAUUUUGUUGAAAGAAAAUUCACAUGCAUACCAAGCAUUUCCAUUUAAUCUUUAUUUAGCUCCAAAAUAAAAUGCAAAGCAGCACCAGCCAUCUCAUUAUAUUUGGUAUAAAAAAUGAGCAAAUAUAACUUAUAUAGUGGGAAUCAAUGUCUUACCUAUACACAUUUUAGUAUUUUUCUAAUAUAUGUAGAUCUUAUUGUGAUGAUAAAAUACAAAUUUAUUCAAAAGCUUAAAAAAAUGUGAUAUGUCUUAAAAACUAUGCCAGGACUUGUACAUGCAAAUGAUUUUUGUCCCUCAAUCUGUGUGCCUAGAAGUUUCCCCUUAUAUGAACUGCACAAGUAUUACUGAAAACACAUAAUUUGUUUCUGUCAGUCUUCACCUAUUUCUAAUUACUCAGACUCAGUCUCUGUAAAAGUUUGCUUUCGUUAAGUUUUUAGUUCUAGGUCAGACAACUUGAUUAACUGACAUUGAUUUUCGUUGUUUGUUAUUUGGCUUAUCGGUAGUAAGCAUCAUGUAAGAUGGAAAUAAAAUGUAGCAUAGUAAAA